This 253-nucleotide ribosomal RNA is filed under the name uncultured bacterium. Its description in RNAcentral is "partial 16S ribosomal RNA". It matches the Rfam family "Bacterial small subunit ribosomal RNA", at positions 524 to 776 of the family's 1533-position model. The record is from RNAcentral.
UACGUAGGUGGCGAGCGUUGUCCGGAUUUACUGGGCGUAAAGGGCGUGCAGGCGGUUUGUUAAGUGCAGGGUGAAAGCUCCCGGCUCAACUGGGAGAGGUCCUUGCAUACUGGCGAACUCGAGGGAGGCAGAGGAAAGUGGAAUUCCCGGUGUAGUGGUGAUAUGCGUAGAUAUCGGGAGGAACACCUGUGGCGAAGGCGGCUUUCUGGGCCUUACCUGACGCUGAGACGCGAAAGCGUGGGGUGCGAACCGG